UACGGGGGGGGCAAGCGUUGUUCGGAAUUACUGGGCGUAAAGCGUGCGUAGACGGUUAUUUAAGUCGGGUGUGAAAGCCCCGGGCUCAACCUGGGAAUUGCAUUCGAGACUGAAUAGCUAGGGUACGGUAGAGGGAAGCGGAAUUUCCGGUGUAGCGGUGAAAUGCGUAGAUAUCGGGAGGAACACCAGUGGCGAAGGCGGCUACCUGGACCAGCACUGACACUGAGGCACGAAAGCGUGGGGAGCAAACAGG
RNAcentral lists this ribosomal RNA (253 nucleotides) under uncultured bacterium. Its description in RNAcentral is "partial 16S ribosomal RNA". It matches the Rfam family "Bacterial small subunit ribosomal RNA", at positions 524 to 776 of the family's 1533-position model. The record is from RNAcentral.